Molecule: ribosomal RNA, 567 nt
Filed under: uncultured bacterium
Lineage: Bacteria
Description: bacterial SSU rRNA
Rfam family: Bacterial small subunit ribosomal RNA
Source: RNAcentral
CCUACGGGAGGCAGCAGUGGGGAAUCUUGUGCAAUGGACGAAAGUCUGACACAGCCACGCCGCGUGCGGGAAGAAGGCCUUCGGGUUGUAAACCGCUUUCAGCAGGAACGAAAAUGACGGUACCUGCAGAAGAAGAUGCGGCCAACUACGUGCCAGCAGCCGCGGUGAUACGUAGGCAUCAAGCGUUGUCCGGAUUUAUUGGGCGUAAAGAGCUCGUAGGCGGUUCAGCAAGUCGGGUGUGAAAACUCUGGGCUUAACCCAGAGCCUGCACUCGAAACUGCUGUGACUAGAGUUCGGUAGGGGAGCAGGGAAUUCCUAGUGUAGCGGUGAAAUGCGCAGAUAUUAGGAGGAACACCAAUGGCGAAGGCACUGCUCUGGGCCGAUACUGACGCUGAGGAGCGAGAGCGUGGGUAGCAAACAGGAUUAGAUACCCUGGUAGUCCACGCCGUAAACGAUGGGCACUAGGUGUGGGUCUCUAACCAACGAGAUCUGCGCCGUCGCUAACGCAUUAAGUGCCCGCCUGGGGAGUACGGUCGCGAAGCUUAAAACUUAAAUUGAAAUUGACGG